GUCGGUAAAACUCGUGCCAGCCACCGCGGUUAAACGAGAGGCUCAAGUUGAUAGCCUUCGGCGUAAAGCGUGGUUAAGGAACUAUUAAACUAAAGCCGAAUUGUCCCAUGGCUGUUAUACGCACCCGAGAACAUGAAGCCCGAGCACGAAAGUAGCUUUAAAUACCUGACCCCACGAAAGCUAUGAAACAAACUGGGAUUAGAUACCCCACUAUG
This 215-nucleotide ribosomal RNA is filed under the name Fundulus xenicus (diamond killifish). RNAcentral's name for it is "Adinia xenica (diamond killifish) partial small subunit ribosomal RNA". The record is from RNAcentral. Lineage: Eukaryota; Metazoa; Chordata; Actinopteri; Cyprinodontiformes; Fundulidae.